Molecule: ribosomal RNA, 405 nt
Filed under: uncultured bacterium
Lineage: Bacteria
Description: partial 16S ribosomal RNA
Rfam family: Bacterial small subunit ribosomal RNA
Source: RNAcentral
AUUGAACGCUGGCGGCAGGCUUAACACAUGCAAGUCGAACGAGUGGCGGACGGGUGAGUAAUGCAUGGGAAUCUGGCGUAUGGAGGGGGAUAACGACGGGAAACUGUCGCUAAUACCGAGUACCAUCGGAUGAGACCAAGUGGGAUUUGGUAGUUGGUGGGGUAAUGGCCUACCAAGCCGACGAGCGCUAGCUGGUCUGAGAGGAGCACCACCCACACCGGGACUUAGACACGGCCCGGACUCCUACGGGAGGCAGCAGUGGGGAAUAUUGCGCAAUGGGGGCAACCUGACGCAGCCAUGCCGCGUUAAUGAAGAAGGCCUUCGGGUUUUAAAGUUCUUUCGGUGACGAGGCGUUAAUCACAGAAGAAGCACCGGCUAACUCCGUGCCAGCAGCCGCGGUAAUUC